GACGAACGCUGGCGGCGUGCUUAACACAUGCAAGUCGAACGGAAAGGCCCUGCUUUUGUGGGGUGCUCGAGUGGCGAACGGGUGAGUAACACGUGAGUAACCUGCCCUUGACUUUGGGAUAACUUCAGGAAACUGGGGCUAAUACCGGAUAGGAGCUCCUGCUGCAUGGUGGGGGUUGGAAAGUUUCGGCGGUUGGGGAUGGACUCGCGGCUUAUCAGCUUGUUGGUGGGGUAGUGGCUUACCAAGGCUUUGACGGGUAGCCGGCCUGAGAGGGUGACCGGCCACAUUGGGACUGAGAUACGGCCCAGACUCCUACGGGAGGCAGCAGUGGGGAAUAUUGCACAAUGGGCGGAAGCCUGAUGCAGCAACGCCGCGUGCGGGAUGACGGCCUUCGGGUUGUAAACCGCUUUCGCCUGUGACGAAGCGUGAGGGACGGUAAUGGGUAAAGAAGCACCGGCUACUACGUG
RNAcentral lists this ribosomal RNA (467 nucleotides) under uncultured bacterium. RNAcentral's name for it is "partial 16S ribosomal RNA". It matches the Rfam family "Bacterial small subunit ribosomal RNA", at positions 28 to 507 of the family's 1533-position model. The record is from RNAcentral.